AACCCAUGGUGAGGGCACCUUCGCAAAAGGUCCUUGUAUCUCUCCCAUGCAUCAGAGAGUGUUUGUAAAUCCAUCUGCACAAAAGAGGAGAUAUCAUUACGUAAUUU
This 107-nucleotide small nucleolar RNA is filed under the name Gossypium barbadense (sea-island cotton). RNAcentral describes it as "Plant small nucleolar RNA R71". It matches the Rfam family "Plant small nucleolar RNA R71". Rfam says of the family: R71 is a member of the C/D box family of snoRNAs containing the C (UGAUGA) and D (CUGA) box motifs. Multiple nearly identical copies of this snoRNA have been identified in Arabidopsis, and it is thought to function as a 2'-O-ribose methylation guide for 18S ribosomal RNA. The record is from Rfam by way of RNAcentral. RNAcentral also lists the same sequence under 1 other name. Lineage: Eukaryota; Viridiplantae; Streptophyta; Magnoliopsida; Malvales; Malvaceae.